RNAcentral lists this long non-coding RNA (809 nucleotides) under Pongo abelii (Sumatran orangutan). Its description in RNAcentral is "lincRNA". Lineage: Eukaryota; Metazoa; Chordata; Mammalia; Primates; Hominidae. The record is from RNAcentral.
ACUUUUUCAUAGCAAAAUUCCUGCAAGGCUGCUCCUGCUUUAUGGAAAAGGUUCAGAACCAUACCUGGAAGGUUAUCCAAAAACUCCAAAGAGGAAAUAAUCAAUCUAUUUUUAUAAGUCUUCCAACUCAACUUUGUCUACUUAAGAAAAAUCAGUCUCACUCCAAAUGAGAUUUAUUGAAAUGUUCCUAAAAUGCCUCCAAUUUACCUAUCACAUGUGAAACAUUAUUCAAAAUGUGGAAGUGGUUUGUGGAGAUGGGUCUUUUCAAUUUAAGCCUGCUUGUACAGUCUUCACUGGGAUCGUGUGACUGCAGACCCUGGUUUCAUGAGCAACUGUUUCAUUUCACACUUUCCAGACAGCAUUUCACACUUGCAUAUGAGCUGCAGCCUUUCCAAAAGUUGGGGAAAUCCUGCAAAGAAGGAACAUGGCAUCUGAUUCUUGGAAUAACAUUCUGUCUACACUCUUCCAGCUGCUGUGGAUACAUGUAAUGACUGAUUUUAUUUAAUAAGAAAGCUCAAAAUGUUUCCCAAUUCGGAACAUAACCCUGCAUGCUGUUCCCUCUAGUCUAACCAGAAAUCCCAUUCUCCUCCUCCUCUAACUCAAUAAACCAAAUCUAAUUGGAGAAUAAUUAUAAAAUACACUGAUGUGCAAUUUGUUUCACUUGCUCAAUAAUUAAUUAAUACACUACUUAUGGUUCAAAAGAGCUCUUAAGACACAGCACAAAUUCCACUGGAUGAAGGAGAAUACCAAAGACAGAAGCCAGGGGCAGCAUCUUUACAUAAGAUGGGCCAAGAGGGAGAAGAAGACAA